AUUGAACGCUGGCGGAAUGCCUUACACAUGCAAGUCGAGCGGCAGCGCGGCCUUUGGGCUGGCGGCGAGCGGCGAACGGGUGAGUAAUGCAUCGGAACAUGCCCAGUCGUGGGGGAUAACACUUCGAAAGAAGUGCUAAUACCGCAUACGUCCUGAGGGGGAAAGUGGGGGAUCGUAAGACCUCGCGCGAUUGGAGUGGCCGAUGUCGGAUUAGCUAGUUGGUGGGGUAAAGGCCUACAAAGGCGACGAUCUGUAGCUGGUCUGAGAGGAUGAUCAGCCACACUGAGACUGGGACACGUCCCAACCUCCAAGGGAGGGCGGCGGGGGGAAAUUUUGAAAAAGGGCGCAAGCCUGAUCCAGCCAUGCCGCGUGAGUGAAGAAGGCCUUCGGAUUGUAAAGCCCUUUCGGCAGGAACGAAGGGGUGGAAUCUAACAUAGUCCGCUAAUGACGGUACCUAAAGAAGAAGCACCGGCUAACUUCGUG
This 483-nucleotide ribosomal RNA is filed under the name uncultured bacterium. RNAcentral's name for it is "partial 16S ribosomal RNA". It matches the Rfam family "Bacterial small subunit ribosomal RNA", at positions 29 to 507 of the family's 1533-position model. The record is from RNAcentral.